ACAGGGCGUUUACGGAACCCGAAGGCUAAUGGGGAAACAAUGGGGCGGUGAGACCGGGAGCAAGCGGAGAGACGCUCAGGAGAGGGCGACCAGGCAGCACGGGACGGGUGGGAUGAAAGAGCGGAAAGCUGCAGUAGACCGAGGCGACAGGGAGACAGGGAACGGAAGCCUUGAAGGCAGGUGUGAUGGAAGCAAAAAGAACACACCUCGGAGCAGCACAGGACCCGCCGUGCCAGACUAGACUCAGGGAAGGAAGAGGCAGCUGAAGGGGGUGUCAAACGGGACAGGAAACACAUAACUUCACUGGAAUUCGAAAAGGGAAGUAGUAGGAUGAUGUCAACAGAGAUUAGCUUGACCCUACAAGGCUGAUUGCGGAGAUGAUUAAAGGUCCAGACCAUAGAAGGAAGUGAGAAGGCUGGUAAAUGGAGAAGUCCCUUUCAAAGAAUUGAGACAUCACUACCUGCCAUCUCGCCGGGUUUAGUUUUUCUUCCCUUUGGCCUUUUUUCUCUUGGGUAAACCAGAUUUUCAGGGAAAGGAGACACUGACCUGUAGACAUUUUAGAGGAAUUACUGUAACCUGUGAAUCUGUUCUAUGAGAUCCAUAUCUUUAACAGAGCCUUUAAAAUGUAAUAGAGCCUCACAUUAAACUCAGGUUUAGGGAUAAAUUUUAAAAUCUCUAUGAAUGUUAAACUACCGUAAUAGUCCUACGUAAUCUUGCUCCUUUCAAAUGAAAUGCAAACAUACUCCAAAAGUCUGUGUACACCAUCUGCCAGCCAAAUCCAAAAUUCGUGCUUCAAUCUGGUGCCUCUCAGAAGAGGCAAAGCUAAUAGUUAACAUUUUAUGUAUCAUAUCACAGAUUUUGUGGUCUCCUCCCAUUGCCUCCCCCCCUUUUUUUCACUAUGGCUGGUGAAAUUCUGCAGCACCAUGCUUUGCCAAGAACAUACAGUCUUAAACCAGCAGGCUUUAUCUUUGUCAAGCCAGUCCCAAGUUUCACAAAACAGUAAUGAUUUCCUUCGGUGCAUCUGCAGUCCAUCUGCAGUCUGGUGCCCAGUUUGCUGCCCCCCAUCCAUAGUGCAGUAUGGUUACCCAAUACUCGAAGACAGGUUGUGCGCCAUCCUUGCCACCCUUCUAUAGGUUCCACUGAGUGAAUUACCAGUUGACCUGACCGGCUACACCAAUAAACCUCCUGCUGAAGUAAGUCAACAUUAGCAAGGCAUUUAGCUGACAACAGCUAAAUAUUUCAACCUUAGGAAAAAUGUAGAAGUUCUUCCUAAGUACACAACAGGAAACUAUUUUUUGCACUACUAUGAAUGACAUUAUAGGAUAAUAUUACCACUGUACUUUUUUCAAGGAUCAUUUUAUAAGUUUCUAAAUAAGUAAUCAGUGAUGAUUAUAGAAGUUUAUGUACAAUGGUGAACUGAAAAAUGUGAAGAAAUGUAGAAGAUGAUGGGGAAGUAUUCUAAGGACAGGAAUUAUUGACCAGCCUGCCCUGUCCUAUAUACUUAAGUUUUCUGUGUGUUCUACUUUCCUUGGUCUGUUCAAGAAAUAUCUUUACUUGUCCCACAGAUGCUUCAAGCUCACUAUAGCCAAAAAUGACUUCUCUUGUCCUUGCCCAUUCCGUAUGCCUAAUCCAUGCGGAUCUUCUUUGUUCCUUAUUCCAGGGAUGGCCUUAACCACCUGCCCAGAAGUCCAAGGCAGAAAACCGUGACUCAUGCUUAGCCCUCCUUCUCUCUCAUUUCUCUUACCUUGCCUAAACUGGUUAUAUCCGUCAAACCCAUUUUCUUUCUAAUACCACAUCUGUUGCCUUAGUUCUAGCCUUUAUGAUUUAUGAUCCCUUCCCCGUGUAGACUGUUCUAAUAACUUCUUAGCUGAUUUCCCUGUCUCUCAUACCUCGACUCUCCAACCCAGAUCUUUCUGAACCUAAAAUGUAUUUAUCUUUUCUUUGCAUUAAAACUCUUCGGUAGCACCCCAAUCAAUACUCUAGAGGGUAAAAUUUAGGACUCUCAGCUUGCCAUAUAAAGCCUUUCAUGAUCUAGCCCCUACCUGAGUAUAGUUUGUUGAGCCUUAUCUCUCUCCAGCCUCUACAUGCAUUCCCACCAGUGUCACACUACUGGGUAUGCCAUGCUGUUUCACACCCUCAUAAGUAGUCAGUGGUUUAUUUCUGUUACUCAUGUAGUAUCAUAUACAUCCUCCUACUAAUUAUUUUUGUGAUUGUUUUAUUGUGCUAGUGUGAAGCACAGAGAUAUCUUCUUGUUAAUAUUGUGGCUGCUCUGGGGCGCCUGGGUGGCUCAGUCGUUAAGCGACUGCCUUUGGCUCAGGGCGUGAUCCCAGGGUCCUGGGAACAAGCCCUGCAUUGGGCUCCCUGCUCUGCUG
Long non-coding RNA from Ailuropoda melanoleuca (giant panda), 2372 nucleotides. RefSeq lists it as uncharacterized. NCBI's taxonomy places the organism in Eukaryota, Metazoa, Chordata, Mammalia, Carnivora, Ursidae. The record is from RefSeq and is a predicted model, not a curated record. The transcript has 3 exons.